GGGCCGGUAGAUCAACGGAACGCGGCGUUAAAGAUCGCCACCUUCGCAAGGUGGAGGUUCCGGGUUCAAAUCCCGGCCGGUCCACCA
The sequence is a transfer RNA, 87 nucleotides long. It matches the Rfam family "tRNA". Rfam says of the family: Transfer RNA (tRNA) molecules are approximately 80 nucleotides in length.